CAUACGUACCUAUAUACCAGUUAAUACAGGUGUGUGUCCAGGUGAAGCAACAUACGUACCUAUAUACCAGUUAAUACAGGUGUGUGUGUGUCCAGGUGAAACAGCAUACGUACCUAUAUACCAGUUAAUACAGGUGUGUGUCCAGGUGAAGCAGCAUACGUACCUAUAUACCAGUUAAUACAGGUGUGUGUCCAGGUGAAGCAGCAUACGUACCUAUAUACCAGUUAAUACAGGUGUGUGUCCAGGUGAAGCAGCAUACGUACCUAUAUACCAGUUAAUACAGGUGUGUGUCCAGGUGAAGCAGCAUACGUACCUAUAUACCAGUUAAUACAGGUGUGUGUCCAGGUGAAGCAGCAUACGUACCUAUAUACCAGUUAAUACAGGUGUGUGUCCAGGUGAAGCAGCAUACGUACCUAUAUACCAGUUAAUACAGGUGUGUGUCCAGGUGAAGCAGCAUACGUACCUAUAUACCAGUUAAUACAGGUGUGUGUCCAGGUGAAGCAACAUACGUACCUAUAUACCAGUUAAUACAGGUGUGUGUCCAGGUGAAGCAGCAUACGUACCUAUAUACCAGUUAAUACAGGUGUGUGUCCAGGUGAAGCAGCAUACGUACCUAUAUACCAGUUAAUACAGGUGUGUGUCCAGGUGAAGCAACAUACGUACCUAUAUACCAGUUAAUACAGGUGUGUGUCCAGGUGAAGCAGCAUACGUACCUAUAUACCAGUUAAUACAGGUGUGUGUCCAGGUGAAGCAGCAUACGUACCUAUAUACCAGUUAAUACAGGUGUGUGUCCAGGUGAAGCAGCAUACGUACCUAUAUACCAGUUAAUACAGGUGUGUGUCCAGGUGAAGCAGCAUACGUACCUAUAUACCAGUUAAUACAGGUGUGUGU
This is a long non-coding RNA of Oncorhynchus keta (chum salmon), 891 nucleotides long. RefSeq lists it as uncharacterized. The transcript is spliced from 3 exons. NCBI's taxonomy places the organism in Eukaryota, Metazoa, Chordata, Actinopteri, Salmoniformes, Salmonidae. The record is from RefSeq and is a predicted model, not a curated record.